GUAAAUAACGAGAACCCGUAGGUAGGUAUAAUAUGUACCUAUCGAACGGUAUACAAUUUUUUUUAGUUAUUUGACUAAAGCUAAAUGUUCACUUUCUUUACGGUACCUAUCGGCACCAAAACAGUUCUCUAACGCGAUAUUUCAAAACGUCUCAAAACUCAUUCAUUCGGAGUGAAUAAUUUAUUAUUAUAAUGCCGAUACAUGAUAAUAUCAUUUCAAUCAAUAACUAUUCCGUUAUAAUUUUUUGAAACGAUUUAACUGAAAGUGUAAUAUUGCAAUUGUUACAAUCAAAUUAAAAAAAUUUUACGAUAAAGUUGUGUACAUUUCAAUCAUCAAAUGACCGCAUUGGAUACAGGGUGUUUCUGCAACGAAAUUCGCCAUUGAAAUAGAAUACACAUCAUAGGUACACGUUGAAUAAGUGGGGCAAAAAAGAAAUUUCCAAAAAACCCCGUACAAUUGUAAGUACUAAUUACACAGUAGCCACUACCAUAGUUUUGUCAUAGUUUGUACUUGAUAAUACCUGUAAAUAACAUGUUUUGUUACAUGCUUAACUAUCUAUACCAACAAUGGCUGGAUAUAUUAUGCCAUCGAGUAAUUAAAUGACGGGUCACAUAAUUUUUCACCAUAAUGGCACCUAUUAUGGACUAUAAAUAUGUUGCGAAAACCAUGCGAGACAGAUAAUUUAGUACGAUGACUGCAGAAAAACGAAAUAAGGAAUAUACAUUUUUAAAUUGUAGUCAUUAUUUUUAAAAUAAAAAUUGGAGUACCAUUGUUUUUAGAAUAUAAUUGCAUUUUGUACAACAAAAAUCUCUUUGUUUGGCUACUCGCCCGAGUAAGUAUUUAUCGCAUUGAUUACAUUUAUUGUAAAAGCAUCCUGUACCUAGGUAUAGUUGAUAUUAUAUAUUAUCAUGUUUUUCUGUUGUAUUUCAAUCGAUGCAGUAGUUAACUAUUAUAUGUUCACUAACUUUGAUGCUACUUAAAACAUUUAAGUGUUAUCGUGUCAGACAUGCAUACAGCCAUUUUUGUUUUAAUCGGUCCUGAAAAACAAUUGUUUGUACAAAAUUGAUUAGUUAAAUACAAACAUGUACGAUAUACAUGUGUAGGUACACAUAAUUAUACUACACAUGCAUUCUCGACAAUGUUUGUUUUUCCUUUCAACGCAAACAUCGACAGUUUUUACGCGAUUUUUUUUUUAAACUCGACCACUGGUGCACCGUUGACGUAUAUAUUAUAUUACCUAUGUAUACAUAACGCACCUGAAGUAACAGUUGAAGACGAAUUUUCAAUUGCCAAACACGCUCGUGAUUUGAGCACAGACAUUACGAUAUCGUAUGCGACCGGAUCAGAACCAAUAAUACUAAUGCAAUGCUAUUAACUACCUAUUAUCUGAUUGUAUUAUAUUAUAUUGUUUUAGGGGAGUCUAUCUAGAUUAUAUGUCACGAUAUUAUUGUGCACUCUGUCGACUCUUUUUUUAGCAGAUCAUUAUUCGCUGCACGCGUCCUGCCGCUACCACGUCGUUAUAUUGCAACGUCGAAGUCCGUACCCAUCUGCAUAUUAUAUUAUUAUUGUAACGCGUAUAUCAUUCACAGUACAAUAAUAUUAUAAUUGGGUUACGCGUGUUUUUAUAACAGUAAAUUAUUCAGUUCCGUAAUGAUUUUUACCGUAACGCCCGUAAUGAUGCGGUGGCUGCAAAACAAGAAGAAGUACCUAUAUAUGUGUACAAUAAUAAUUUAAUAUCACCGGUACAUAUGCGACUGCAUACAAUAUAAAUUGUAUAAUAAGGUUUAAGGUACCUAGCUAUAUCAUAAGUAUUCCACCGACAAUACACGAUUCCCCCCUUUUGUGUAGUACUAGACUUUUUAUUUUAUUAUUACUAUUAUUAUAUUUGAUGUGGUACAUUACAAUAUUCAAUUAAGGAACGUGGGACAGUGACAGUAAAACGUGUGUUGUUGUUAUAUUAUAUACCUACGUAUUGCUCGGCGUAGCCAUGGGCUAGUAUUUCUUAUAAAUUAUCGUCAUUGGUCCGUCGCACGUUUUUUUUUUUUUUUAUGCAUUUUUAUCACACAACUAAACGAAUUGAUUUUCAACAAAAUAUGCCGUCAGACACCUCAUCGUUAAUCUCGGCAAUAAUAUUAGGUGAUGUCGUCUGAUCGAGUUUAACCUAUAUGCAAAUAACCAAACGGACAGAUUUAACGAUAUUCCUCAUUAUUUCUUUUCAUUUUCACAUUUUAAACCCAUUACCUGCAACAGAGUAUUGGUAUAGGUACGUCAUCGCGUACGCAUUAUAUGUCAAAUCGAAAAAUCAAAUCUUUUGUAGUACAUUGUGCGCUAUUAUUUAAUGAAUAUAAACGGCGCUUAGUCAUGAGAAAACCGUACGAAACAAAUGCACCCUAUAUAGAAUACAAUGAAUACAAUUUUUUUAUCCUAUUCAUUACUAUUAUUAUUACUACUGCUGUACUAUUAUUAUUAUGAUUAUUACAUGUCCCCCACUCAGGAAUUGCCACAGCUACGCCAACAGGAUGUACAAAGGCCUUCCGGUGCAGGUCACUGCUGGAAUCCGCGGAAGUCUACCGGAAGAAGGCGUUUUUCGACUUCAUCGGAUUCUUGUGUUGUAGUGUAUGGUAACUGGUAGUGCACCGUGCAAUUCUGAACAUUUAUUCAAACACAUACAAUGCAACCACUCGUGGGAACGUGCUAAGUUUCACUGCCAUCGGUCUUGCCUUACGGAUUUCUUCCGGCAAAUGACUCGUGGGAACGUCAAUCGUGACGAAAUGACCGGACUCUGCAACACCAGCUAUAUAUGGCUCAUUGUACAACGCCUCGCUGGGAAUAAAUUAACAGUUUAAAGUACGAGUAAUGUCAAAUUAUUGGCGAUUGCUACGAAUAUAUCUGUGUCACUCAUUUCGAUUUUCAACGAUGUACUCCUCGAUAAGAUGAACAGAAAAUAUAGAGACCUUCGAAAUCAUUGUUUCACAAUUUAUUACCAAUACACAAUGAAAUGCAUGUAUAUACUAUCAAUGACGAGGGUACGCGAAAGUGCACAAAUAUAAUGAAAUUCAAUAAUUGAAACAUCGUGAAAUUAAAGGAAUAUAUUGUAAUAUAUGGAUAUUUUAUGUGAAUAUAUAAUAAUAUUUUAUAGGUUCUAUGAUAUCACAUAAUAUGAUCCACAAUAAAUUCUUAACUGUUUGAUGUAUAAAAAAAAAAUAUGACGACAUCUAUAAUUUAAAACUUUCAACUGCUUUAAAGACUGCUUGAGUGAGCUUCAGAUCGAGUUUAUUGUUUCUCGUAAGACGUCUACAGGAACAAACUCCGAUAAUUUAGAUUUUUACGGAAUUUCAAAACCGACAAAUUGCCGAAUAUCAAUAAUAAUUGUUCGUUUUCCACCUUCCGUUACGCGAUAAAUGUAUAUAAAAUCCAGAUUUAUAUGCCUAUAGUUAUAUAUAUAUGUAUAUUAUAUACACCUAUACGAUGUACCUAUAUGUGCACUCACGUUGUACAAAAUGAAUGGUGUGCUGGUGCUGCAGGAGCUGACGGCGUUCGGGCACCCCCUCCGAAGUAGCGUUAAUUUACCGUCUUCGUCAGUGUGGCAAAUUUAUCGCAACAGGUCGCGCGAAUUGAUUACGGCGAGAGAUUUAUCAACAACAACGUGUUAUUCCCAUCGUUUUUUCUCGGAAAAAUGAUUUCGUGGUAACGGGAAAACAAUCAUUAUUUUUGCCGACGAUAAAUGAACGAAAAAACGGCGAAUGAAGGUUCUCGCCGCCCCGUACCCGUCGUCGUCGUCGCCGAUGUGUGGCGGAGGCGGUCGAGCUGGUAGAUUUCUCUUUCUAUGUAUUUUUUUUUCUCUCUCACUCUCUUCGAGGAAAAGCCCACCCCCCGCGGACAGAGGCCGAGUGCCUGUCGAUGUUCUUCACGGCGCGCCCGGCACUUAGCGCCCGGGAAAAAUGACCUCCAUUAAUAUUUUUAUUAUAUUAUAGGUUUUCACUGGUUGUAAGUACGCUAGCGCGGUCCCCGUAAUGGACCCUGUGCAGAGCAGUGGCGUCAGCGGGGAACGUGGUUGC
Molecule: long non-coding RNA, 4058 nt
Organism: Myzus persicae (green peach aphid)
Lineage: Eukaryota; Metazoa; Arthropoda; Insecta; Hemiptera; Aphididae
Exons: 3
Source: RefSeq, a predicted model, not a curated record